ACCGGCAGCUAGCUCUCUGCUAGUCUCACACGGUCACCCACUGAAGUUAAGCAGGGCUGGGCCAGUCAGUACCUCAAUGGGAGACCACAUGGGAAAGCGAGGUUGCUGCUGGAA
This 114-nucleotide ribosomal RNA is filed under the name Danio rerio (zebrafish). Lineage: Eukaryota; Metazoa; Chordata; Actinopteri; Cypriniformes; Danionidae. The record is from RNAcentral.